UAAAGGGACUGCCGGUGUUAAACCGGAGGAAGGUGGGGAUGACGUCAAGUCCUCACUGGCCUUUAUGACCACGGGCUACACACGUACUACAAUGGCCGAUACAAAGGGCAGCGACACUGCGAGGUGAAGCCAAUCCCGUAAAAUCGGUCUCAGUCCGGAUUGGAGUCUGCAACUCGACUCCAUGAAGUUGGAAUCGCUAGUAAUCGUGGAUCAGCAUGCCACGGUGAAUACGUUCCCGGGCCUU
This 244-nucleotide ribosomal RNA is filed under the name uncultured Desulfobulbus sp. Its description in RNAcentral is "partial 16S ribosomal RNA". It matches the Rfam family "Bacterial small subunit ribosomal RNA", at positions 1141 to 1382 of the family's 1533-position model. Lineage: Bacteria; Pseudomonadati; Thermodesulfobacteriota; Desulfobulbia; Desulfobulbales; Desulfobulbaceae. The record is from RNAcentral.